RNAcentral lists this non-coding RNA (45 nucleotides) under Schistosoma mansoni. Lineage: Eukaryota; Metazoa; Platyhelminthes; Trematoda; Strigeidida; Schistosomatidae. The record is from RNAcentral.
AUCCAGCUGUUGAGUCCCAAGUAGGACAAAACGCACGUCCUGGGU